GUCAUCACCACGUUGCAGUUAAGAAGCCUUGCCAAUAAAGAACCAGCUUAGAGUAGGGUGCAGUUGCCAUUAACCUUGCAGGCAAUGUCAACAAGUCAGUUAGGACAAAUGUAAGCCAUCUCAGAUGAUGAAUGGCAACUCUCAGAUCCACUUUUGGGAAAACAAUGGAGACCAGGAAAAACGGGCAAACCGGACUAUCUGUGCUCCUGCCUGAAAGAGGGGAGGACAGAACAGGAAAUCAGAGUAUACCGUCCACUACAGGAAAUGAUUCAGCCGAGUCCCUUGCCAGAGGAGUUCCAGUUCAUCAGCCAGUGAGAGGCCCCAAGCAGGAGUGCAGGGGGUGUCUGGGGUCACUCCUCGUAGGAGAUCCUGCUCCCACACCACAGCUCUCCCUGGCUUCAGCUCCUGAUGAAGCUCCCCUCCUCCCUGAGACCCAGAGGUGCUAACACCUUCUCAUUGCUGACAGUCCUAGGGGUUUCAAUGCCUUUUAUGGGUUCCUUAAAACUGUUCACUUUCAAAAACAGCUUAUUUAUUAAAUCUGUUUCCUACGAGGACAUUCACAUACCUAAACGGAGUAACAGACAUGACAGGUGCCUAAAUGUACUGGGUUGCACUUUCAGAAGUGUGAGCAGGUUUAAUGUAAAUUGUAUUGCUUAUCGUGAGUUACGGUCAAGAGAGCUGAACAAACACCAUCAUGGUUUUUCUUUACUGCUGUUGCGUCUGGCUGGUACAGGGAGCUAUUGGAUGGACAAUUCAAAACACAAACAUUUGAAAAACACUUCUUUAUGACUGUUGCCACAAAAUAAAUAGCACAUUAUGUCCAAAAUAAGAAAAGCA
Molecule: long non-coding RNA, 837 nt
Organism: Canis lupus familiaris (dog)
Lineage: Eukaryota; Metazoa; Chordata; Mammalia; Carnivora; Canidae
Exons: 4
Source: RefSeq, a predicted model, not a curated record